AUACCAUUAGAGGAUGCAAAGA
This 22-nucleotide small nuclear RNA is filed under the name Arabidopsis thaliana (thale cress). Its description in RNAcentral is "snRNA_12633". The record is from RNAcentral. Lineage: Eukaryota; Viridiplantae; Streptophyta; Magnoliopsida; Brassicales; Brassicaceae.